AUUCUUGUUGAAAUAAUAUUUAAUUAAUGUUGUUAUGUAACAGUCUAAACAGAAAGUUGUAGCCACAAAUUAUAUAUUUAUAUAAACUUCCCUUAGCCUGUGCAAUGAAUUCAAGCUAAAAACUAUAAUGAGACAUUCAAACAAGGGGCUUCAGGGACAGCACAGCAAUUGAAGAGAAGCUGAUUUUAAACUUGCUUUAAGAUUCUAUAAACUGGGCAGCUGUGUUAAUUCAAUAAAACACAUUUUUUUAACUCACAUAAUAAAAAAAAACAUAUAUCCAAGAGUUCACUUGCAUACUAUCUGCAUACACACAUUUGCAAAGUCAACACACACACACAGAAAUGUAUGACGCUGGUGGCUUAGGGGCAAAAAAACCCCACAUUAAUUGUUAAAAAAAAAUCUAAAGACAAUGUAUUGAGAUUUAUUUCACAAUAAAACCAGUUUUUCAACAAAAGAAAAAAAAAAGGGGGGGGGGGGGGCAG
Biomphalaria pfeifferi is the source of this 482-nucleotide non-coding RNA. NCBI's taxonomy places the organism in Eukaryota, Metazoa, Mollusca, Gastropoda, Planorbidae. The record is from the annotation of a GenBank genome assembly.